RNAcentral lists this ribosomal RNA (503 nucleotides) under uncultured bacterium. RNAcentral describes it as "partial 16S ribosomal RNA". It matches the Rfam family "Bacterial small subunit ribosomal RNA", at positions 30 to 523 of the family's 1533-position model. The record is from RNAcentral.
AUUGAACGCUGGCGGCAGGCUUAACACAUGCAAGUCGAGCGGGGUGAUGGUGCUUGCACUAUCACUUAGCGGCGGACGGGUGAGUAAUGCUUAGGAAUCUGCCUAUUAGUGGGGGACAACAUCUCGAAAGGGAUGUUAAUCCCGCAUACGUCCUACGGGAGAAAGCAGGGGAUCAUUUGUGACCUUGCGCUAAUAGAUGAGCCCAAGUCGGAUUAGCUCUUUGGUGGGGUAAAGGCCUACCAAGGCGACGAUCUGUAGCGGGUCUGAGAGGAUGAUCCGCCACACGGGGACUGAGACACGGCCCAGACUCCUACGGGAGGCAGCAGUUGGGAAUAUUGGACAAUGGGCGGAAGCAUGAUCCAGCCAUGCCGCGUGUGUGAAGAAGGCCUUAUGGUUGUAAAGCACUUUAAGCGAGGAGGAGGCUACUUUAGUUAAUACCUAGAGAUAGUGGACGUUACUCGCAGAAUAAGCACCGGCUAACUCUGUGCCAGCAGCCGCCGUAA